AUUGAACGCUGGCGGCAGGCUUAACACAUGCAAGUCGAGCGGAUGAAGGGAGCUUGCUCCUGGAUUCAGCGGCGGACGGGUGAGUAAUGCCUAGGAAUCUGCCUGGUAGUGGGGGAUAACGUCCGGAAACGGGCGCUAAUACCGCAUACGUCCUGAGGGAGAAAGUGGGGGAUCUUCGGACCUCACGCUAUCAGAUGAGCCUAGGUCGGAUUAGCUAGUUGGUGGGGUAAAGGCCUACCAAGGCGACGAUCCGUAACUGGUCUGAGAGGAUGAUCAGUCACACUGGAACUGAGACACGGUCCAGAGUCCUACGGGAGGCAGCAGUGGGGAAUAUUGGACAAUAGGCGAAAGCCUGAUCCAGCCAUGCCGCGUGUGUGAAGAAGGUCUUCGGAUUGUAAAGCACUUUAAGUGGGGAGGAAGGGCAGUAAGUUAAUACCUUGCUGUUUUGACGGUACCAACAGAAUAAGCACCGGCUAACUUCGUG
This 484-nucleotide ribosomal RNA is filed under the name uncultured bacterium. RNAcentral describes it as "partial 16S ribosomal RNA". It matches the Rfam family "Bacterial small subunit ribosomal RNA", at positions 30 to 507 of the family's 1533-position model. The record is from RNAcentral.